This 240-nucleotide unclassified non-coding RNA is filed under the name soil metagenome. RNAcentral's name for it is "partial contains 5.8S ribosomal RNA, internal transcribed spacer 2, and large subunit ribosomal RNA". The record is from RNAcentral.
AAGACUAUAGACCUGCGGAGUACCUGCGGAGGGAUCAUUAUUGAAUAACUUGGAUGCUGAUGCUGGCGUGAAAGCACAUGUGCUCGCGUUCAUCUUAUUUCAAAUCCCUUUGUGCACCUUUCUAGUCUCGAAUUCGAAAAGGAACCUCUCACUCUUGAUCACCUACAUCUCUGGGUAAACCGGAGCGUUGGAUGUGCUUGAGCGCUUUCAUUAGCGUUCUCACUAGUCCUAUGUUCUUGA